Molecule: transfer RNA, 71 nt
Filed under: Marmota monax (woodchuck)
Lineage: Eukaryota; Metazoa; Chordata; Mammalia; Rodentia; Sciuridae
Description: tRNA.Ala
Source: RNAcentral
GGGGUUGUAGCUCAGCGGUAGAGUGCUUGCCUAGCACAUGAGAGGCACAGGGUUCCAUCCUCUGCACCACA